This 160-nucleotide small RNA is filed under the name human gut metagenome. RNAcentral describes it as "Clostridiales-1 RNA". It matches the Rfam family "Clostridiales-1 RNA". The record is from RNAcentral.
GAUUACAGCGUCCAAAAGUCUAAGUCCGCUUGGGCUUGCACAAAGCGGACCUAGACCUUGGGACGCGCCCUUACAUGAGCAUGGAAGGGGAGCGUAAGCUCCACGAUAUGCGAAUGGAGGGAAGGAUUGUGGGAGUGCGAAGCACGAAACAAUCCGUGUA